Lotus japonicus is the source of this 1673-nucleotide long non-coding RNA. RefSeq lists it as uncharacterized. The record is from RefSeq and is a predicted model, not a curated record. NCBI's taxonomy places the organism in Eukaryota, Viridiplantae, Streptophyta, Magnoliopsida, Fabales, Fabaceae. The transcript has 4 exons.
GCCAUUAUUCUGGAGAUUGAUUAUUUUGCUGAACAUUCUCAUCAAUUACUGAACUUCUGUAUUGAAAAAUUGUUAUAAGACCUUUAUUUGAUUGGACAUAUGGCCACUUAUCAAUUCUUUCAUGAUUUCAUCUUUUAUUUGGACUAUAAAGGCAGCCUAUAAAAGCUGCAGUGGCAGCUACUGCAGAGCAUCUUGCGGGUUUGCUCCCCCUUCAUCUUGUUUAUGGACGAGCCCAUGAGACUGCAAUUGAGGACUGGAUAUGGUCAGUGGGUUGCAACCCUUUCUCCAUUACAUCACAAGGUUGGCACAUUUCACAGUUCCAGUCUGAUUUGAUUGCUCGGAGUUAUGUCAUCACUACUCUUGAAGAAUCAAUUCAGCUGGUUAAUUCUGCCAUUCAUCUUCUACUAAUGGAACGUACUACUGAAAAAACUUUCAAGAUCUUCUAGUCCCAGGAGCAUGAACUUGUAAACAAAUACAAUUAUGUCGUUGGCCUUUGGAGAAGGGUAUCAACUGUCACUGGAGAAUUGCGUUACGUUGAUGCAUUGAGGCUGCUAAACACCUUGGAGGAUGCAUCCCAAAGGUUAGAAACUAGACAGUGUUCUACUACACACAUUUCAAUAGACAAAACAUAAGGAGAAGAUAUGAUACUGUUAAAGUCCCACAUUGACUAAAGAUAUGACCAAAGAAAAUGUAUUGCAAAUCCCGCCCCAAAGCUAGACUUUGGGGUAGUUAGGCCUAGCCAAAAUUCUUAAGAUGAUAUUAAAGUCAAUCCAAGAUUCAUUAUUGAGCCACCCAUGAUGGGUCAUCUGCAAAAGUUUAAAGUUUGAGAAUCUACCCAACCCACAGUUGUUCCAUGAAAAAUUAAUGAAGUCAAUCUGGCCCGCGAUUAUUUUAGGAGAAUUUGGUAAGUUGAUCUGUCCCGUAAAUAUCCCAUGAUGAGCAUGAGGGCAUUUGUGUAAAAUAUCCAGUAAGUCAUUGCUCCAGAUAUCCGGUCCUGAGCAUGAGGGUGGUUUUAAUGUCCUAAAUUGACUAAAGAUAUGUCCAAAAUAGUUUUAAUAAAAGGGAAAAAUUUAACCAACACAAGUAAAAACUUGUGCAAGGUUACACAACAGGCAUUUGACCCAUUAUAACAAGUUUUUUUUAAAAAAAAUCAAAAAACAUAUUUUCUUAAUUAAAUAUUUAUCUUUAAUUAAUUUCAAAAAAAAAAACAUAUAUCCUUAAUAUGUUCCUCUUCUCUCUACCUUCUUCACCUCUUCUCUCUUCAACACCAGAUUCAAAUUUCUAUCAAUCUCAGACAUGUCUCUCUUCAACACCUCCGUGCCGGAAAACUCCACCACCAGCUGUACUUCAACCCCAAAACUCAUCCCCACCACCUCAUCACAAAAUAACCCUUUUCCCUUAUCUCUGUACCUUUUCCCUUCUCUCUCUGCAUCUCCAUUCUGCCAGUGUCAUUGGGGUUCCCGGCGGCGGAGCAGUUGCCGGUGACAGGAUGUGCGACCAUGGAAGCUUCUGAUCAACCCAUUUUCUUGCCGGCUUCCCAGAUCUCGUCCACCCAAGCGCUUUUCCCAGAUCUGGUUCGUUCGGAGAAGCCAGAUCUCCUUUCCCGACUCCAUCUUCCUCACCCUUUGAUGGCGGCGCAAACCACCAACGCACUCCCAUUGUUGCGGCUGAAU